RNAcentral lists this ribosomal RNA (253 nucleotides) under uncultured bacterium. RNAcentral describes it as "partial 16S ribosomal RNA". It matches the Rfam family "Bacterial small subunit ribosomal RNA", at positions 524 to 776 of the family's 1533-position model. The record is from RNAcentral.
GACGUAGGGCGCGAGCGUUGUCCGGAUUUAUUGGGCGUAAAGAGCUCGUAGGCGGCUUGUUGCGUCGACCGUGAAAACCCGGGGCUCAACUUCGGGCUUGCGGUCGAUACGGGCGAGCUAGAGUUCGGUAGGGGAGACUGGAAUUCCUGGUGUAGCGGUGAAAUGCGCAGAUAUCAGGAGGAACACCGGUGGCGAAGGCGGGUCUCUGGGCCGAUACUGACGCUGAGGAGCGAAAGCGUGGGGAGCGAACAGG